RNAcentral lists this ribosomal RNA (454 nucleotides) under uncultured bacterium. RNAcentral describes it as "partial 16S ribosomal RNA". It matches the Rfam family "Bacterial small subunit ribosomal RNA", at positions 28 to 507 of the family's 1533-position model. The record is from RNAcentral.
GAUGAACGCUGACAGAAUGCUUAACACAUGCAAGUCUACUUGAACUUCGGUUUGGGUGGCGGACGGGUGAGUAACGCGUAAAGAACUUGCCUCACAGAUAGGGACAACAUUUGGAAACGAAUGCUAAUACCUGAUAUUAUGAUUUUAGGGCAUCCUAGAAUUAUGAAAGCUAUAUGCACUGUGAGAGAGCUUUGCAUCCCAUUAGCUAGUUGGAGAGGUAACGGCUCACCAAGGCGAUGAUGGGUAGCCGGCCUGAGAGGGUGAUCGGCCACAAGGGGACUGAGACACGGCCCUUACUCCUACGGGAGGCAGCAGUGGGGAAUAUUGGACAAUGGACCAAGAGUCUGAUCCAGCAAUUCUGUGUGCACGAUGAAGUUUUUCGGAAUGUAAAGUGCUUUCAGUUGGGAAGAAAAAAAUGACGGUACCAACAGAAGAAGUGACGGCUAAAUACGUG